UACGGGGGGUGCGAGCGUUAAUCGGAAUUACUGGGCGUAAAGCGCACGCAGGCGGUUUGUUAAGUCAGAUGUGGAAUCCCCGGGCUCAACCUGGGAACUGCAUCUGAUACUGGCAAGCUUGAGUCUCGUAGAGGGGGGUAGAAUUCCAUGUGUAGCGGUGAAAUGCGUAGAGAUGUAGAGGAAUACCGGUGGCGAAGGCGGCCCCCUGGACAAAGACUGACGCUCAUGUGCGAAAGCGUGGGGAGCAAACAGG
RNAcentral lists this ribosomal RNA (253 nucleotides) under uncultured bacterium. Its description in RNAcentral is "partial 16S ribosomal RNA". It matches the Rfam family "Bacterial small subunit ribosomal RNA", at positions 524 to 776 of the family's 1533-position model. The record is from RNAcentral.